GUACGUGAAAUUGUUGAAAGGGAAGCGCUUGCAAUCAGACUUGCCCGCGGGUGAUCAGCCGGUAUUCUUACCGGUGCACUCGCCCGUGGUCAGGCCAGCAUCGGUUUGGGCGGCUGGACAAAGGCCCCCGGAAUGUAGCUCCUCUCGGGGAGUGUUAUAGCCGGGGGUGCAAUGCAGCCAGCCCGGACCGAGGACCGCGCUUCGGCUAGGAUGCUGGCGUAAUGGUUGUAAGCGACCCGUCUUGAAACACGGACCAAGGAGUCUAACAUCUAUGCGAGUGUUUGGGUGUCAAACCCAUGCGCGUAAUGAAAGUGAACGGAGGUGGGAACCCUUAAGGGUGCACCAUCGACCGAUCCUGAUGUCUUCGGAUGGAUUUGAGUAAGAGCAUAGCUGUUGGGACCCGAAAGAUGGUGAACUAUGCCUGAAUAGGGUGAAGCCAGAGGAAACUCUGGUGGAGGCUCGCAGCGGUUCUGACGUGCAAAUCGAUCGUCAAAUUUGGGUAUAGGGGCGAAAGACUAAUCGAACCAUCUAAGUUACUAGAUGGCAUAUGUAGGCCGAUGAGCCCGAGUAGUCCCACGGUGGGGCGACAUUGCCAGUCUCCCGGGGACGCCUUAAGGGCUACCCGCAGUGGGCCACAGCGGCUCAUUCACAGACUAGAUGGCGGUGGCCGUGCCCGGGCGGCGCGGUUAGGAUAUAGCC
RNAcentral lists this ribosomal RNA (699 nucleotides) under Myriospora hassei. RNAcentral's name for it is "partial large subunit ribosomal RNA". It matches the Rfam family "Eukaryotic large subunit ribosomal RNA", at positions 395 to 1410 of the family's 3401-position model. The record is from RNAcentral. Lineage: Eukaryota; Fungi; Ascomycota; Lecanoromycetes; Acarosporales; Acarosporaceae.